Doryrhamphus excisus (bluestripe pipefish) is the source of this 1444-nucleotide non-coding RNA. The record is from RefSeq and is a predicted model, not a curated record. NCBI's taxonomy places the organism in Eukaryota, Metazoa, Chordata, Actinopteri, Syngnathiformes, Syngnathidae.
CUUCGUUUUUUUGUAUCCGCUUGUAAAAACUGGACCACAUUUAUUCAUUUAAUAAAGUACGACAAUAUUAUGGCGUUAAUUGAUAGAACUCACCUGCCGUUUACCCUCAAUUAGACAAACGUAACUGUUAGCUUAGUAGUUCAUAAACGCCAUUGUUGUAGCUCCCGCCUACAUGUUAAUGUGAUUGGCCGAAGCGGAUUUAGACUGACCUUUUGUCCAAUCAGAUUAAAAGUUCCUGCUUAAUGCAACGCAGCAGGGGGAUUUAACCUCAUUGUUUGCUUCUCAACAUGUUACAGAUGAGUGAAAUUUAGGUCUUUGAAGAGUCCCUGCAUGACGCCGCACUUCCCUGCGCCAUCUCCCACUUCCUGUGUGGACACGGCAUCUUUAAAGGCAGAAGGGCUGCUGGGAAAGUCGUCAGUGGAGAAAAAAAGAGGAGGAGCAGGAGCGUAGUGCUGGCUCCAAAUGCGCCGCUACAAAGGCGUCCAUUCAUUUGGGGGAGCCGUAAAGUGACGCUAAAAGAGGAUGACGGGCUGCUUCACCGCCAUGACUGAUGAUGGCGCGUGUGAGGAAAAACGUGAGCGUCGUGAUCCGCUCUCUCGUGGGCCGGAUCCGUGGGAGGGUGAGAGGUGUGGGAGGCGACGUGGAGAUUCUCACACACACCGUGUCACACACUUCUCAAAUCCUGCACGGAAAAAGGAGCCAACAUUGCAGCGGAAAUAAAUGCAUCAAAAGACGGCGUAGGAGUCACGUGAUCCACCUCCCAGCCAAUCGUGUAUAGAGAAACAAGAUGUAACAUCACCUGAAGUUGAAGGAAAAUGGCGACCGCAGACGGCAACGACCAUGCCAAAAGAUAAUUGGGAGGAAGACACAGCCCACGUCGGCGAUGACGACAUAAUGGUUGAUGGUUGUCUCGCUGGGAUUUAUGAGGCGGCUCCUUCCCAGGCCCGUUUCUAAAGAACACAAUCAAAUCACUGAGCUCCUAUACGUAUGUAUACACGGCUAAAGGACUAUGUCUCCAUGGCGAUGGAAUCAUUAAAUGUUCAUUCAUUCAUUCAUUUUCUACCGCUUUUUCCUCACGAGGGUCGCGGGGGUGCUGGAGCCUAUCCCAGCUGUCUUCGGGCGUAAGGCAGGGUACACCCUAGACUGGUCGCCAGCCAAUCACAGGGCACAUAUAGACAAACAACCAUUCACACUCACAUUCAUACCUAUGGACAAUUUGGAGUCGCUAAUUAACCUAGCAUGUUUUUGGAAUGUGGGAGGAAACCGGAGUACCCGGAGAAAACCCACGCAUGCACGGGGAGAACAUGCAAACUCCACACAGAGAUGGCCGAGGGUGGAAUCGAACCCUGGUCCUCCUAGCUGUGAGGUCUGCGCGCUAACCACUCAUUAAAUGUUAAAUUAAAUUAAAUUAAAUCGUCCUUAUUGUAACUGAAAUAGACAACUC